This 222-nucleotide ribosomal RNA is filed under the name uncultured bacterium. Its description in RNAcentral is "partial 16S ribosomal RNA". It matches the Rfam family "Bacterial small subunit ribosomal RNA", at positions 113 to 334 of the family's 1533-position model. The record is from RNAcentral.
CGACGUAAAGAACUUGCCUCACAGCUAGGGACAACAUUUAGAAAUGAAUGCUAAUACCUGAUAUUAUGAUUUUAAGGCAUCUUAGAAUUAUGAAAGCUAUAAGCACUGUGAGAGAGCUUUGCGUCCCAUUAGCUAGUUGGAGAGGUAACAGCUCACCAAGGCGAUGAUGGGUAGCCGGCCUGAGAGGGUGAACGGCCACAAGGGGACUGAGACGCGGCCCUU